GACGAACGCCGGCGGCAGGCCUAACACAUGCAAGACGAACGGUAACAGGAAACAGCUUGCUGUUUCGCUGACGAGUGGCGGACGGGUGAGUAAUGUCUGGGAAACUGCCUGAUGGAGGGGGAUAACUACUGGAAACGGUAGCUAAUACCGCAUAACGUCGCAAGACCAAAGAGGGGGACCUUCGGGCCUCUUGCCAUCGGAUGUGCCCAGAUGGGAUUAGCUUGUUGGUGGGGUGACGGCUCACCAAGGCGACGAUCCCUAGGUGGUCUGAGAGGAUGACCAGCCACACUGGAACUGAGACACGGUCCAGACUCCUACGGGAGGCAGCAGUGGGGAAUAUUGCACAAUGGGCGCAAGCCUGAUGCAGCCAUGCCGCGUGUAUGAAGAAGGCCUUCGGGUUGUAAAGUACUUUCAGCGGGGAGGAAGGGAGUAAAGUUAAUACCUUUACUCAUUGACGUUACCCGCAGAAGAAGCACCGGCUAACUCCGUGCCAGCCGCCGCCGUAA
This 506-nucleotide ribosomal RNA is filed under the name uncultured bacterium. RNAcentral describes it as "partial 16S ribosomal RNA". It matches the Rfam family "Bacterial small subunit ribosomal RNA", at positions 28 to 523 of the family's 1533-position model. The record is from RNAcentral.